Molecule: long non-coding RNA, 2130 nt
Organism: Artibeus jamaicensis (Jamaican fruit-eating bat)
Lineage: Eukaryota; Metazoa; Chordata; Mammalia; Chiroptera; Phyllostomidae
Exons: 3
Source: RefSeq, a predicted model, not a curated record
GAAACCCGUCCCUCGUGCUAAAAAAAGGUUGGGGACCAAUGUAUUAACAAAUCCGCCAUUGUAACUAGACUGACUCUUUGGUGGACCACAAAUUCGGGCAUACAGAGCAGUUACCUGCUUCUGGCCAGGAGUUCUAGUACAUAAAAUAAUCCUCUAAUUUUGGAAGGUGUGGUUGUUAAUAACUGUGAAUUUGCUGUACUUUCACUGUUCAUCUUUUUCAUCUUCUUUUUUUUAGGGAUAUCCAGCCACCACCCCAGGAUCCACAGCAUCCACAGUGGAAAUGUCGCCUGGUACUCUGCUAAUUCCACCGUUGUCAUUGGUGGCUACACAGUCUGCAGAGUUGGGGUGCUGGAGGACUCCUUAACCCUCUUGGACAUGUUUUUGACCAUUCUCUUGUCCCCUUGUGGGUUCUUCUGCUGUUUUGCCUUGAGGAGGCUAAGACGUCCCAACUGUGGAGCAAAAUUUACCUAAAGGGAACAGCACCCCUGGUUUUCCUGCAUUCAGCUGUCUUUUUCUAAUGUAAAUGUUGUGUACAGUAGCUUUAUUUGAUUAAGUUUCAGGACUGUUCUGUGAAGGGCGGUAGAAUGGAUUUGGCAUGUGUAAGUUGGGUUCACAGGCAUGAGUCAUGGAGUGUGGACACGUGGCAAUACUGUUCCCAUGGUUAAUAACAACUCAAUAAAGCACCACUUUUAUUUUUUGCACUCUUCACUUUGAUAGAGGUGAGAAAUACUGUUUUAAAUAAAUGAGAUUUAUGCCAUUUAAGCAUUUUUCAACAUCCACUUCUACUUUUUUUUCAAUUAGCAAUAAUCACACCUGGGAUAAACCUCAUUGGCUACAGCACUGCCUCUGUGCAAAGCUCAACAUGCAUGUGUAAUUUUUAAUAAGUUUAGAGUUAAAAAUUAACUACAUUAUUCUUUUAAAUAAUAUGCGGAGUUUUCAGUGCUUUAACUCCAGUAUUUCCUAUCACAACAUUCACUUUUUUAUGUUAUGGUUAUAAGUCAAUUUGGGUUUCAUUCUUUAAAUCUCCUAUUUAUAUAAAGAGUACAAAUUUAGCCCUGGCUGGUGUAGCUCAGUGGAUUGAGCGCAGGCCUGCGAACCAGACAAUUGCGGUUCGAUUCCCAGUCAGGGCACAUGCCUGGGUUGCAGGCCGGUUCCCUGCAGGCCAGUUCCCAGCAGGGGAUGCAUGAAAGGCAACCAUACAUUGAUGUUUCUCUCCCUCUCUCCUUCCUUUCCCCUCUAAAGAUAAAUAAAUUAAAAAAAAUAAAGAGUACAAAUUUAUGUUUUUAAAAAAUCUUCACUAGAGGAUAUGUGUAUUGAUUUUAGAGAGAGAGGAAGGGAGACAGAGAAACAUCGGCUGGUUUCCUCCUGUAUAUACCCCAACCAGGGAUUGAACCCACAACCUAGGUAUUUGCCCUGACCUGGAAUUGAACUCACAACCUUUUAGUGACUGGUCGACACUCAACUAACUGAACCACCCAGCCAGGGUAACAUUUAGGUUUUGCAAAGUCUUCUACUCAUUUCUUUUUGCUCUUUUUCUCCUUUCUUGGUGGUUUCCUUACAAAUUUUUUAAAUGAAAGUUUAAAAAAAUUAUUUAUUUUUUAGAGAGAGGGAAAGGGAGGGAGAAAGAGGAGAGAAACGUCAAGGUAUGGUUGCCUCUCCUGUACCUCCUGCUAGGGGACCUGGCCCACAACCCAGGCAUGUGCCCUGACUGGGAAUCGAACCAGCAACCCUUUGGUUUUCAGUCCAGUGCUCAAGCCAUUGAAGCACACCAGCCAGGGCUAAUAACUUUCUUUUUAAAAAUUGAUUUUAGAGAAAGAGAAGAAGGGGAAGAGAAACAUUGAUUUGUUGUGCCACUUAUUUAUGCAUUCAUUGGUUGAUUUUCUGUGUGCUCUAAUUAUGUAUGGAACUCACAACCUUGGCAAUCCAGACGACACUCUAAGCAACUGAGCUACCUGGCCAAGGCCGCUUUAAUAACUUUCAACCCAUUUCCUUCCCCAGUAUCUCAAUCCCUUUACCUGUUUUUACCUAUUAUAUAAUUCCCCUCUUUGUUUCCUUUCUCUCUCCAGUAUAGUGUCAAUUCCCUGAGGGCAUAGAUUUCUGUUUCAUUCGCUGUGUAUCCCAAGCAUUUAG